This 466-nucleotide ribosomal RNA is filed under the name uncultured bacterium. RNAcentral's name for it is "partial 16S ribosomal RNA". It matches the Rfam family "Bacterial small subunit ribosomal RNA", at positions 28 to 507 of the family's 1533-position model. The record is from RNAcentral.
GACGAACGCUGGCGGCGUGCUUAACACAUGCAAGUCGAACGGAAAGGCCCUGCUUGCCGGGUACUCGAGUGGCGAACGGGUGAGUAACACGUGGGUGAUCUGCCCUGCACUUCGGGAUAAGCCUGGGAAACUGGGUCUAAUACCGGAUAGGAGCCAUUUUUAGUGUGAUGGUUGGAAAGUUUUUUUCGGUGUAGGAUGAGCUCGCGGCCUAUCAGCUUGUUGGUGGGGUAAUGGCCUACCAAGGCGGCGACGGGUAGCCGGCCUGAGGGGGUGGACGGCCACAUUGGGACUGAGAUACGGCCCAGACUCCUACGGGAGGCAGCAGUGGGGAAUAUUGCACAAUGGGCGCAAGCCUGAUGCAGCGACGCCGCGUGGGGGAUGACGGCCUUCGGGUUGUAAACUCCUUUCGCUAGGGACGAAGCUUUUUGUGACGGUACCUAGAUAAGAAGCACCGGCUAACUACGUG